AUUGAACGCUGGCGGCAUGCCUUACACAUGCAAGUCGAACGGCAGCACGGGAGCAAUCCUGGUGGCGAGUGGCGAACGGGUGAGUAAUAUAUCGGAACGUGCCCAGUCGUGGGGAUAACGUAGCGAAAGCUACGCUAAUACCGCAUACGAUCUAUGGAUGAAAGCGGGGGAUCGCAAGACCUCGCGCGAUUGGAGCGGCCGAUAUCAGAUUAGGUAGUUGGUGAGGUAAAGGCUCACCAAGCCGACGAUCUGUAGCUGGUCUGAGAGGACGACCAGCCACACUGGGACUGAGACACGGCCCAGACUCCUACGGGAGGCAGCAGUGGGGAAUUUUGGACAAUGGGCGCAAGCCUGAUCCAGCAAUGCCGCGUGCAGGAUGAAGGCCUGGUGUAACUAG
RNAcentral lists this ribosomal RNA (397 nucleotides) under uncultured bacterium. Its description in RNAcentral is "bacterial SSU rRNA". It matches the Rfam family "Bacterial small subunit ribosomal RNA", at positions 30 to 432 of the family's 1533-position model. The record is from RNAcentral.